Sphaeramia orbicularis (orbiculate cardinalfish) is the source of this 820-nucleotide long non-coding RNA. RefSeq lists it as uncharacterized. The transcript has 2 exons. Lineage: Eukaryota; Metazoa; Chordata; Actinopteri; Kurtiformes; Apogonidae. The record is from RefSeq and is a predicted model, not a curated record.
UUGAUGACGCAAUGACGCAGAGACAACUCUCUGACUAGUCAGUGGUCUGCAGUGUUUACACGUCACAUUUUAGUAUCUUUUGACCCGUUUUGGAACCAAGGCCGAGUAAGUACUAAAAAAGUAGAACUGGGUACCAGAUUCCAGGUUCUUUUAUGUAAUGGAAAUGCUAAAAGGCUGAGUUGAGUCGAGCCGGUACCACGUAGUGGCAAUGUGCCGUAAGUCAGUAAUCACUGAGAUACAGAGAAGCUGCUGUGUGGAAGAGUCUACCUCUUAUCAUUACAUUUUACAUCAGUGUUCCAAAGUGGAAAAUAUUAUUGUACCAGUGGUUUCAAAUUAUUGUAGUUUGAAGAAAACUAUGGUGCACAAGUCAUGACGAAGUGAUUUACACUGGGUAACUGAGCUCAUGAGAUGAAUUCAAGGUCAUAUGAAAAAAUGUGCAUUUAAAGACAAUCCUGAUGAUGUUGGGAAAUUAUUUAAAAAGCUAUAUGUAAUGUAGAAUGAUUACAGCUACUAAUACUGAGUGUCACAUAAUAAUCAAAUUAUGCAUUUGGAAUUAUUGAUCCUGCAUCAUACAGUGAGUAAUGAUUAUAACAUAAUUUGAAUAGAAUAGAAUGGAACUGCGUUUACUGUCAUUGCAGAACACAAGUAGUGCAGUGCAAUGAGAUGUUGUUUGUAUGUCUCUAUAAAGUGCCCAGUAUAAAAAAAAAGAGAAAGAAAAAACAGUUCAUAGUUUACAAAUUUAAACAGAAAGGAACUAAGGUUAGUAAAUGUGCACUAUAGAUAGAAAUGAAAUAUAAACCUGAGUAUAAAUUUUUUUUUU